Molecule: ribosomal RNA, 464 nt
Filed under: Vreelandella stevensii
Lineage: Bacteria; Pseudomonadati; Pseudomonadota; Gammaproteobacteria; Oceanospirillales; Halomonadaceae
Description: partial 16S ribosomal RNA
Rfam family: Bacterial small subunit ribosomal RNA
Source: RNAcentral
CCUACGGGUGGCAGCAGUGGGGAAUAUUGGACAAUGGGCGAAAGCCUGAUCCAGCCAUGCCGCGUGUGUGAAGAAGGCCUUCGGGUUGUAAAGCACUUUCAGUGGGGAAGAAAGCCUUGGGGCUAAUACCCUCGAGGAAGGACAUCACCCACAGAAGAAGCACCGGCUAACUCCGUGCCAGCAGCCGCGGUAAUACGGAGGGUGCGAGCGUUAAUCGGAAUUACUGGGCGUAAAGCGCGCGUAGGCGGUCUGAUAAGCCGGUUGUGAAAGCCCCGGGCUCAACCUGGGAACGGCAUCCGGAACUGUCAGGCUAGAGUGCAUGAGAGGAAGGUAGAAUUCCCGGUGUAGCGGUGAAAUGCGUAGAGAUCGGGAGGAAUACCAGUGGCGAAGGCGGCCUUCUGGACUGACACUGACGCUGAGGUGCGAAAGCGUGGGUAGCAAACAGGAUUAGAUACCCCGUAGUC